ACCUUGAGUAGCUCAGUCAACAGAUCUCAAGACUCUUAAUCUCAGAGUUGUGGGUUUGAUCCCCACAUUGGGCA
Molecule: non-coding RNA, 74 nt
Organism: Podarcis lilfordi (Lilford's wall lizard)
Lineage: Eukaryota; Metazoa; Chordata; Lepidosauria; Squamata; Lacertidae
Source: the annotation of a GenBank genome assembly